GACGAACGCUGGCGGCGCGCCUAACACAUGCAAGUCGAACGGAGCUGCGAGAAGCUUGCUUUUCUUAGCUUAGUGGCGAACGGGUGAGUAACGCGUGAGUAACCUGCCCUGGAGUGGGGGACAACAGUUGGAAACGACUGCUAAUACCGCAUAAGCCCACGCUCCGGCAUCGGGUUGAGGGAAAAGGAUUUAUUCGCUUCAGGAUGGACUCGCGUCCAAUUAGCUAGUUGGUGAGGUAACGGCCCACCAAGGCGACGAUUGGUAGCCGGACUGAUAGGUUGAACGGCCACAUUGGGACUGAGACACGGCCCAGACUCCGACGGGAGGCAGCAGUGGGGGAUAUUGCACAAUGGGGGAAACCCUGAUGCAGCGACGCCGCGUGGAGGAAGAAGGUGUUCGGAUUGUAAACUCCUGUCGUUAGGGACGAUAAUGACGGUACCUAACAAGAAAGCACCGGCUAACUACGUG
This 468-nucleotide ribosomal RNA is filed under the name uncultured bacterium. Its description in RNAcentral is "partial 16S ribosomal RNA". It matches the Rfam family "Bacterial small subunit ribosomal RNA", at positions 28 to 507 of the family's 1533-position model. The record is from RNAcentral.